This 465-nucleotide ribosomal RNA is filed under the name uncultured bacterium. RNAcentral's name for it is "partial 16S ribosomal RNA". It matches the Rfam family "Bacterial small subunit ribosomal RNA", at positions 28 to 507 of the family's 1533-position model. The record is from RNAcentral.
GACGAACGCUGGCGGCGUACUUAACACAUGCAAGUCGUACGGUAAGGCCCUUUCGGGGGUACACAAGUGGCGAACGGGUGAGUAACACGUGAGUAACCUGCCCACAACUUUGGGAUAACGCUAGGAAACUGGUGCUAAUACUGGAUAUGUGCCCCUGCUGCAUGGUGGGGGUUGGAAAGCUCCGGCGGUUGUGGAUGGACUCGCGGCCUAUCAGCUUGUUGGUGGGGUAGUGGCCUACCAAGGCGGCGACGGGUAGCCGGCCUGAGAGGGUGACCGGCCACAUUGGGACUGAGAUACGGCCCAGACUCCUACGGGAGGCAGCAGUGGGGAAUAUUGCACAAUGGGCGCAAGCCUGAUGCAGCAACGCCGCGUGCGGGAUGACGGCCUUCGGGUUGUAAACCGCUUUCAGCAGGGACGAAGCUUUUUGUGACGGUACCUGCAGAAGAAGCACCGGCUAACUACGUG